GGAAAUCAUGUAACAUUUACAACCAAACUUUACCCAACCAUCUGGACAUUCCUGUUUACAAAGCAGUGCUCUGUUCCGUCAGAUUCUUCAGCGUUAGAAGAAUCUUCUCCUUGACAGUCCUGUAUUUAACGGCCAACCCAAGCAGUCCAGCCAGCAGGACCACAGACAGUAGGCCCAGAAGCACCACAACAGCCCUGAUAGGACACCAAGGAGGGCUCACAGCGUCCGGCCGCUGACUUCUUCCUGUUCCCAGAGACUUGGAGGACUCCUCUGUCCCCACAGAGUCCUGGUGUGGAUCUCCGA
Gadus macrocephalus (Pacific cod) is the source of this 303-nucleotide long non-coding RNA. RefSeq lists it as uncharacterized. NCBI's taxonomy places the organism in Eukaryota, Metazoa, Chordata, Actinopteri, Gadiformes, Gadidae. The record is from RefSeq and is a predicted model, not a curated record. The transcript is spliced from 2 exons.